This 404-nucleotide ribosomal RNA is filed under the name uncultured bacterium. RNAcentral describes it as "bacterial SSU rRNA". It matches the Rfam family "Bacterial small subunit ribosomal RNA", at positions 355 to 776 of the family's 1533-position model. The record is from RNAcentral.
UGGGGAAUAUUGGACAAUGGGCGCAAGCCUGAUCCAGCCAUGCCGCGUGAGUGAUGAAGGCCUUAGGGUUGUAAAGCUCUUUCACCGAUGAAGAUAAUGACGGUAGUCGGAGAAGAAGCCCCGGCUAACUUCGUGCCAGCAGCCGCGGUAAUACGAAGGGGGCUAGCGUUGUUCGGAAUUACUGGGCGUAAAGCGCACGUAGGCGGACUUUUAAGUCAGGGGUGAAAUCCCGGGGCUCAACCUCGGAACUGCCUUUGAUACUGGAAGUCUUGAGUAUGGAAGAGGUAAGUGGAAUUGCGAGUGUAGAGGUGAAAUUCGUAGAUAUUCGCAGGAACACCAGUGGCGAAGGCGGCUUACUGGUCCAUUACUGACGCUGAGGUGCGAAAGCGUGGGGAGCAAACAGG